RNAcentral lists this ribosomal RNA (253 nucleotides) under uncultured bacterium. RNAcentral's name for it is "partial 16S ribosomal RNA". It matches the Rfam family "Bacterial small subunit ribosomal RNA", at positions 524 to 776 of the family's 1533-position model. The record is from RNAcentral.
UACGAAGGGGGCUAGCGUUGUUCGGAAUCACUGGGCGUAAAGGGCGUGUAGGCGGUCAGGUAAGUGGGAUGUGAAAUGCCCCGGCUCACCCGGGGACCGGCAUCCCAUACUGCUUGGCUUGAGUACGGGAGAGGAUGUGGGAAUUCCUGGUGUAGCGGUGAAAUGCGUAGAUAUCAGGAGGAACACCGGUGGCGAAGGCGCACAUCUGGCCCGAUACUGACGCUGAGGCGCGAAAGCUAGGGGAGCAAACAGG